Molecule: ribosomal RNA, 926 nt
Filed under: Panus similis
Lineage: Eukaryota; Fungi; Basidiomycota; Agaricomycetes; Polyporales; Panaceae
Description: LSU rRNA
Rfam family: Eukaryotic large subunit ribosomal RNA
Source: RNAcentral
CUAACAGGAUUCCCCUAGUAACUGCGAGUGAAGCGGGAAAAGCUCAAAUUUAAAAUCUGGCAGUCUUUGGCUGUCCGAAUUGUAUUCUGGAGAAGCGUUUUCCGCGCUGGACCGUGUACAAGUCUCUUGGAAUAGAGCGUCAUAGAGGGUGAGAAUCCCGUCUUUGACACGGACUACCAGUGCUUUGUGAUGCGCUCUCAAAGAGUCGAGUUGUUUGGGAAUGCAGCUCAAAAUGGGUGGUGAAUUCCAUCUAAAGCUAAAUAUUGGCGAGAGACCGAUAGCGAACAAGUACCGUGAGGGAAAGAUGAAAAGCACUUUGGAAAGAGAGUUAAACAGUACGUGAAAUUGCUGAAAGGGAAACGCUUGAAGUCAGUCGCGUCAUUCAGAACUCAGCCUGGCUUUUGCCUGGUGUACUUUCUGGUUGACGGGCCAGCAUCAGUUUUGACCGCUGGAAAAAGGCCAUGGGAAUGUGGCACCUUCGGGUGUGUUAUAGCCUGUGGUCAUAUACAGCGGUUGGGAUUGAGGACCGCAGCACGCCUUUAUGGUUUGGGGUUCGCCCACAUUCGUGCUUAGGAUGCUGGCGUAAUGGCUUUAAACGACCCGUCUUGAAACACGGACCAAGGAGUCUAACAUGCCUGCGAGUGUUUGGGUGGAAAACCCGAGCGCACAAUGAAAGUGAAAGUUGGGAUCCCUGUCGUGGGGAGCACCGACGCCCGGACCAGACCUUUUGUGACGGAUCCGCGGUAGAGCAUGUAUGUUGGGACCCGAAAGAUGGUGAACUAUGCCUGAAUAGGGUGAAGCCAGAGGAAACUCUGGUGGAGGCUCGUAGCGAUUCUGACGUGCAAAUCGAUCGUCAAAUUUGGGUAUAGGGGCGAAAGACUAAUCGAACCAUCUACUAGCUGGGUCUGCGAUUUCUCCCCUCAGGA